CCUACGGGGUGCUGCAGUCGAGAAUCAUUCACAAUGGGGGAAACCCUGAUGGUGCGACGCCGCGUGGGGGAAUGAAGGUCUUCGGAUUGUAAACCCCUGUCAUGUGGGAGCAAAUUAAAAAGAUAGUACCACAAGAGGAAGAGACGGCUAACUCUGUGCCAGCAGCCGCGGUAAUACAGAGGUCUCAAGCGUUGUUCGGAAUCACUGGGCGUAAGGCGUGCGGAGGCUGUUUCGUAAGUCGUGUGUGAAAGGCGCGGGCUCAACCCGCGGACGGCACAUGAUACUGCGAGACUAGAGUAAUGGAGGGGGAACCGGAAUUCUCGGUGUAGCAGUGAAAUGCGUAGAUAUCGAGAGGAACACUCGUGGCGAAGGCGGGUUCCUGGACAUUAACUGACGCUGAGGCACGAAGGCCAGGGGAGCGAAAGGGAUUAGAUACCCUAGUAGUC
Molecule: ribosomal RNA, 446 nt
Filed under: uncultured bacterium
Lineage: Bacteria
Description: partial 16S ribosomal RNA
Rfam family: Bacterial small subunit ribosomal RNA
Source: RNAcentral